RNAcentral lists this small nuclear RNA (107 nucleotides) under Pygoscelis adeliae (Adelie penguin). Lineage: Eukaryota; Metazoa; Chordata; Aves; Sphenisciformes; Spheniscidae. The record is from RNAcentral.
GUCCUCGCUUUGGCAGCACAUAUACUAAAAUUGGGACAAUACAGAGAAGAUUAGCAUGGCCCCUGCGCAACGAUGAUAGGCAAAUCCAUGAAGUGUUCCAUAUCUAC